This 433-nucleotide ribosomal RNA is filed under the name uncultured bacterium. RNAcentral's name for it is "partial 16S ribosomal RNA". It matches the Rfam family "Bacterial small subunit ribosomal RNA", at positions 29 to 507 of the family's 1533-position model. The record is from RNAcentral.
AACGAACGCUGGCGGCAUGCCUAACACAUGCAAGUCGAACGAGACCUUCGGGUCUAGUGGCGCACGGGUGCGUAACGCGUGGGAACCUGCCUUUAGGUUCGGAAUAACUCAGAGAAAUUUGAGCUAAUACCGGAUGAUGUCUUCGGACCAAAGAUUUAUCGCCUUUAGAUGGGCCCGCGUUGGAUUAGCUAGUUGGUGGGGUAAAGGCCUACCAAGGCGACGAUCCAUAGCUGGUCUGAGAGGAUGAUCAGCCACACUGGGACUGAGACACGGCCCAGACUCCUACGGGAGGCAGCAGUGGGGAAUAUUGGACAAGGGGCGAAAGCCUGAUCCAGCAAUGCCGCGUGAGUGAUGAAGGCCUUAGGGUUGUAAAGCUCUUUUACCCGAGAUGAUAAUGACAGUAUCGGGAGAAUAAGCUCCGGCUAACUCCGUG